GUGGGGAAUAUUGGACAAUGGGCGCAAGCCUGAUCCAGUCAUGCCGCGUGAGUGAUGAAGGCCUUAGGGUUGUAAAGCUCUUUCAGUGGGGACGAUAAUGACGGUACCCACAGAAGAAGCCCCGGCUAACUUCGUGCCAGCAGCCGCGGUAAUACGAAGGGGGCUAGCGUUGUUCGGAUUUACUGGGCGUAAAGCGCACGUAGGCGGAUCGUUAAGUCGGGGGUGAAAUCCUGGAGCUCAACUCCAGAACUGCCUUCGAUACUGGCGAUCUUGAGUCCGGAAGAGGUGAGUGGAACUCCUAGUGUAGAGGUUGAAUUCGUAGAUAUUAGGAAGAACACCAGUGGCGAAGGCGACUCACUGGUCCGGUCCUGACGCUGAGGUGCGAAAGCGUGGGGAGCAAACAGGAUUAGAAACCCUUGUAGUCC
Molecule: ribosomal RNA, 425 nt
Filed under: uncultured bacterium
Lineage: Bacteria
Description: partial 16S ribosomal RNA
Rfam family: Bacterial small subunit ribosomal RNA
Source: RNAcentral